UUUUUUUUUUUUUUUUUUUUUUGAGACAGAGUCUCUCUGUCUCCCAGGCUGGAGUGCAGAGGCGCGAUUUUGACUCACUACAGUCUCCGCCUCCUGGGCUCAAGUGAUUCUCCUGCUUCAGCCUCCCAAGCAGCUGGGAUUAGAGGCAGCACCCCCCACGCCCGGCUAAAUUUUUGUGUAUUUUUAAUAGAGACUGAGUUUCACCAGGUUGGCCAAGUUGGUCUCGAACUCCUGAUCUCACAUUAUCCAUCUGCCUCGGCCUCCCGAAGUGCUGGGAUUAUAGGCGUGAGCCAUAUUAUUGAGUGUCAGGCACUGUGCUAGGCAUUGCAGGUCCAAACGUCAUUUUACCCAUGGGCCAGUGUCAAGGUAGGUUCGCUUGUACCAAUCUUGCACAUAAGGAAACAGCCUUAGAGAGGUUAGGUUGCUUGUGCAAACCCAGGGUAGGUGGCACCCAGUCUGCCAGUCUGCAAAGCACUGGUAUCUUCCAGCCCGUAGACCUUGCUCCCUGGGUGCCCAGUACUGGGGCUCAGGGAAGGUGGAUUAAGGCUCCCAGUGGCGGGACCUAGGUGGGGAUUUGCUGCCCUCUGGUGGCAGAAGGGACGUCACUCAGGGUGUGAGACUUCUGGGCAUCUGUAAGGUGGCCUUUCAUUCCAGGCAGCCGGACCUCAAAUCUGACCUCAGCCCUAGGAAGGUGCCACACGAGCAGUUCCCACCAGGGUCUGCUGGGGCCCUGUCCCAUCCAUCUGUGAGUCACAUGAUCACUCAGGCUGUCACAGGCCCAGGGCUAGACUGCUGGGUUUGAGUCUGUGUGGCCCUGAGCAUUGCUUUCUCCUCUGGGCCUCAGUUCCAUUUCAGUAAAAUCAGGAUGAUGGCCUGGGCAACAUAGCAAGACUCCAUCUCUACCAAAUAAAUAAACAAAUAAAUAAAUAAAUAAAAGAUUAGGCUGGGCAAGGUGGUUCACGCCUGUAAUUCACUUUGGGAAGCCGAGGCAGGUGGAUCACCUGAGAUCAGGAGUUCGAGGACAGCCUGGCCAACAUGGCGAAACCCUGUGUCUACUAAAAAUAUAAAAAUUGGUCAGGCAUGGUGACGGGUGCCUGUAAUCCCAGCUACUCGGGAGGCUGAGGCAGGAGAAUCGCUGGAACCUGGGAGGUGGAUGUUGCAGUGAGUCAAAUCGCACCAUUGCACUCCAGCCUGGGUGACAAGAGAGAAACUCCAUCCUAAAAAGAAAAAACAACAGAAAAAUUAGCUCAGUGUGGUGGC
This 1260-nucleotide long non-coding RNA is filed under the name Macaca fascicularis (crab-eating macaque). RNAcentral describes it as "lncRNA (ENSMFAG00000048659.1)". Lineage: Eukaryota; Metazoa; Chordata; Mammalia; Primates; Cercopithecidae. The record is from RNAcentral.